Molecule: ribosomal RNA, 253 nt
Filed under: uncultured bacterium
Lineage: Bacteria
Description: partial 16S ribosomal RNA
Rfam family: Bacterial small subunit ribosomal RNA
Source: RNAcentral
UACGUAGGGUGCAAGCGUUGUCCGGAAUUAUUGGGCGUAAAGCGCUCGUAGGCGGUCUGUCGCGUCGGCUGUGAAAACUCGGGGCUCAACUCCGAGCUUGCAGUCGAUACGGGCAGGCUAGAGUUCGGCAGGGGAGACUGGAAUUCCUGGUGUAGCGGUGAAAUGCGCAGAUAUCAGGAAGAACACCCGUGGCUAAGGCGGCUCUCUAGUACGGUACUGACGCUGAGACGCGAAAGCGUGGGGAGCGAACAGG